This 608-nucleotide long non-coding RNA is filed under the name Marmota monax (woodchuck). The record is from RNAcentral. Lineage: Eukaryota; Metazoa; Chordata; Mammalia; Rodentia; Sciuridae.
UGGUCAUUCCUUUUUAUUCCCAUGGUCAUCAUCUUGCUCAGAAUUAAUUAUCACUUGUAGUUUCCUGUCUCCUCUCCAGUGCUGUGCCUGACCAACCCAUCUGCUGCACAUCUGGCAAUUUAAAGUUCAAGAUUCCAUAGAUUAGAUAGAUAGAUAGAUAGAUAGAUAGCCAGACUUGUUCAAGGAAUCCUUAGUAGAUGGACAAGAACAAAGGCUGGGGAGUUGAACUUCAGGACUUGAGACACAGCUUUAGAACAUUACAACUGUGAGCCUAUGUGAGAUAUCUAAUCUUUUUGAGCUUUAGUUUUCUACAUAAAAUAAGGGUAAGUAAUGGUGACCAGGCAUUUAGAACUUCGAGGGCCAGCCACAGCACUCUGUGCACCUCCCAUCCUUUGCUCAUUGCACACUGAGAAGAGCACAUUUCAUUUUGAGACUCAAUCUCUCCUGUCUCUCCACAUCCCCUUUCUCUAAGAAAGAGGAGUAAUAAAAGUGAAAUUGAGCAUUUCUUCCUUUUAGCAAUUACAAACUACACAAUGCAUAUAAACAGUUUUGUUUAUUCAAUGUUUGUAUGUGGUUUUCUUUCUUUAUUCUUUAUUACUCAAUCUUAC